This 216-nucleotide ribosomal RNA is filed under the name Glomeromycotina sp. Its description in RNAcentral is "partial small subunit ribosomal RNA". The stretch from base 40 to 216 matches the Rfam family "Eukaryotic small subunit ribosomal RNA", at positions 686 to 864 of the family's 1831-position model. The record is from RNAcentral. Lineage: Eukaryota; Fungi; Glomeromycota.
GGGUCAGUAGGUUGGUCGUGCCACCGGUACGUACUGGUCUCACUGAUUCCUCCUUCCUGAAGAACCGUAAUGCCAUUAAUUUGGUGUUGCGGGGAAACAGGACUGAUACUUUGAAAAAAUUAGAGUGUUUAAAGCAAGCUAACGCUUGAAUACAUUAGCAUGGAAUAAUGAAAUAGGACGAUCGAUCCUAUUUUGUUGGUUUCUAGGAUUGACGUA